Molecule: ribosomal RNA, 305 nt
Filed under: uncultured bacterium
Lineage: Bacteria
Description: bacterial SSU rRNA
Rfam family: Bacterial small subunit ribosomal RNA
Source: RNAcentral
ACCUACGGGAGGCAGCAGUGAGGAAUAUUGGUCAAUGGGCGGAAGCCUGAACCAGCCAAGUCGCGUGAGGGAUUAAGGCCCUAUGGGUCGUAAACCUCUUUUGUCAGGGAGCAAUGGCGUCCACGUGUGGGCGUAUGGAGAGUACCUGAAGAAAAAGCAUCGGCUAACUCCGUGCCAGCAGCCGCGGUAAUACGGAGGAUGCGAGCGUUAUCCGGAUUUAUUGGGUUUAAAGGGUGCGUAGGCGGGCUGUUAAGUCAGCGGUAAAAGCCCGGGGCUCAACCCCGGCGAGCCGUUGAAACUGGCUG